GGCAGCACAGAGGAGCUUGCUCCUUGGGUGGCGAGUGGCGGACGGGUGAGGAAUACAUCGGAAUCUACUCUGUCGUGGGGGAUAACGUAGGGAAACUUACGCUAAUACCGCAUACGACCUACGGGUGAAAGCAGGGGAUCUUCGGACCUUGCGCGAUUGAAUGAGCCGAUGUCGGAUUAGCUAGUUGGCGGGGUAAAGGCCCACCAAGGCGACGAUCCGUAGCUGGUCUGAGAGGAUGAUCAGCCACACUGGAACUGAGACACGGUCCAGACUCCUACGGGAGGCAGCAGUGGGGAAUAUUGGACAAUGGGCGCAAGCCUGAUCCAGCCAUACCGCGUGGGUGAAGAAGGCCUUCGGGUUGUAAAGCCCUUUUGUUGGGAAAGAAAUCCAGCUGGCUAAUACCCGGUUGGGAUGACGGUACCCAAAGAAUAAGCACCGGCUAACUUCGUGCCAGCAGCCGCGGUAAUACGAAGGGUGCAAGCGUUACUCGGAAUUACUGGGCGUAAAGCGUGCGUAGGUGGUCGUUUAAGUCCGUUGUGAAAGCCCUGGGCUCAACCUGGGAACUGCAGUGGAUACUGGGCGACUAGAGUGUGGUAGAGGGUAGCGGAAUUCCUGGUGUAGCAGUGAAAUGCGUAGAGAUCAGGAGGAACAUCCAUGGCGAAGGCAGCUACCUGGACCAACACUGACACUGAGGCACGAAAAGCGUGGGGAGCAAACAGGAUUAGA
RNAcentral lists this ribosomal RNA (726 nucleotides) under Stenotrophomonas maltophilia. RNAcentral describes it as "bacterial SSU rRNA". It matches the Rfam family "Bacterial small subunit ribosomal RNA", at positions 65 to 782 of the family's 1533-position model. Lineage: Bacteria; Pseudomonadati; Pseudomonadota; Gammaproteobacteria; Lysobacterales; Lysobacteraceae. The record is from RNAcentral.